This 308-nucleotide ribosomal RNA is filed under the name uncultured Pseudomonadota bacterium. RNAcentral describes it as "bacterial SSU rRNA". It matches the Rfam family "Bacterial small subunit ribosomal RNA", at positions 29 to 351 of the family's 1533-position model. Lineage: Bacteria; Pseudomonadati; Pseudomonadota. The record is from RNAcentral.
AACGAACGCUGGCGGCAGGCUUAACACAUGCAAGUCGAGCGGACCCUUCGGGGUCAGCGGCGGACGGGUGAGUAACGCGUGGGAACGUGCCCCUAUCUUCGGAAUAGCCCUGGGAAACCGGGAGUAAUGCCGGAUACGCCGAGCCAUAGCGAUAUGGUUUGGGAAAGAUUUAUCGGAGAGGGAUCGGCCCGCGUUGGAUUAGGUAGUUGGUGGGGUAACGGCCUACCAAGCCGACGAUCCAUAGCUGGUUUGAGAGGAUGAUCAGCCACACUGGGACUGAGACACGGCCCAGACUCCUACGGGAGCAG